CGGAGGAUCCAAGCGUUAUCCGGAUUUAUUGGGUUUAAAGGGUGCGUAGGUGGCUUUUUAAGUCAGGGGUGAAAGACGGUAGCUUAACUAUCGCAGUGCCUUUGAUACUGAAGAGCUUGAAUGAACUAGAGGUAGGCGGAAUGUGACAAGUAGCGGUGAAAUGCAUAGAUAUGUCACAGAACACCAAUUGCGAAGGCAGCUUACUAUGGUUAAAUUGACACUGAGGCACGAAAGCGUGGGAAUCAAACAGGAUUAGAUACCCUGGUAGUCCACGCCCUAAACGAUGAAUACUCGAUGUUGGCGAUAUACGGUCAGCGUCUAAGCGAAAGCGUUAAGUAUUCCACCUGGGGAGUACGCCCGCAAGGGUG
RNAcentral lists this ribosomal RNA (368 nucleotides) under uncultured organism. Its description in RNAcentral is "bacterial SSU rRNA". It matches the Rfam family "Bacterial small subunit ribosomal RNA", at positions 526 to 896 of the family's 1533-position model. The record is from RNAcentral.